UAAGGAAUAUUGGACAAUGGAGGCAACUCUGAUCCAGCCAUGCCGCGUGAAGGAAUAAGGCCCUAUGGGUUGUAAACUUCUUUUAGACGGGACAAAACCCCUUUACGUGUAAAGGGUUGAUGGUACUGUCAGAAUAAGCAUCGGCUAACUUCGUGCCAGCAGCCGCGGUAAUACGAAGGAUGCAAGCGUUAUCCGGAAUCACUGGGCGUAAAGGGCGCGUAGGCGGUCUGUUAAGUCCGAUGUUAAAUCCCGGGGCUCAACCCCGGAUAAGCGUUGGNUACUGGCAGGCUAGACGGUUGGAGAGGCGAGUGGAAUUACCAGUGUAGCGGUGGAAUGCGUAGAUACUGGUAGGAACACCCAUUGCGAAGGCAGCUCGCUGGACAACACGUGACGCUGAGGCGCGAAAGUGUGGGGAGCAAACC
This 422-nucleotide ribosomal RNA is filed under the name uncultured bacterium. RNAcentral describes it as "bacterial SSU rRNA". It matches the Rfam family "Bacterial small subunit ribosomal RNA", at positions 355 to 774 of the family's 1533-position model. The record is from RNAcentral.